CGGUAGUGUCGGUUAUGUUCAAUAAAAAUAAAAAAAAACACACAUGGCCUGUUCUCAAGUCCAUUUAAAGUUUCAUUUUUUGAACAGUUGUUUGAAUUGGAUUGAAUCAUUAUUUAAAAUAAUCUUGGAGAUUUUUGAAAUGCCUAAAUCAUAAAGGGAGCCGGGUUGAAGCCUUUUUCUUUUAUGACAGCCGUCCCCUCUGCAUACCGUAUUUUUCGGACUGUAAGUCGCAUCUAAGAAUACAUCAAAAAUACAUCAUGAUGAGGAAAAAAAACAUAUAUAAGUCGCACUGGACUAUAAAUCGCAUUUAUUUAGAACCAAUAAAAAACAUUACCGUCUACAGCCGCAAGAGGGCGCUCUAUGUUUUCAGUGUAGACUACAGCAGAACUGAGCAGCAUAGAGCGCCCUCUGGUGGCUGGAGACAGUAAUGUUUUCUCUUGAUUCAUUUUUCUUAGUCCAUUUCUCUUGGUUCAUGUCAAAUUAAUUUUGAUAAGUCGCACCUGACUAUAAGUUGCAGGACCAGCCUAACUAUGAAAAAAAAAGUGCGACUUAUAAUACGGUAUAUAUUUUUCCGAGAAUGUUGCACUCCUGUUGCUGUUUGUUAUUCUGCACGAAACUUCUUGCCAAUAAAUAAGAAAUACUGCUGACUUUUUGCGUUUCCAGUGCUUUCUUCACGUUUGUCCGUUAUUUGGCGUUGAAAAAGGAAACGUCUUUUUUUAGACAUGGAAAAUCGAUUUUACAAUCGAUUCAAUGAACACUUGUAUCUUAAAAAUCGAAAAUGAUUUUUUCACAAAAGUGACAGCCCUCAUCAACUGUGUUCCUUAUGAGUUUUUAACUUUGAACUGCGUUUCCUUUCGUAGGUGGAUAUGGAGGAGGAAGAGGUGGUUACGGUGGAGGUGAUGGAUAUAAUGGCUACGGAGGGAAUGGUGGCUAUGGUGGAGGUGGACCUAAUUACGGAGGCAACCGCGGUUAUGGAGGAGGCGGCGGAGGUGGUGGUGGUGGUGGCUAUGGAAACCAGGGUGGAGGCUACGGUGGCGGCGGUGGCUAUGAUAACUACAACAGUGGAGGUGGAGGCAACUUCGGAGGAGGCAACUUUGGAGGUGGCGGGGGCUACAACGACUUCGGCAGCUACAACAAUCAAUCUUCCUCUAACUACGGCCCGAUGAAGGGAGGAAACUAUGGAGGUGGUGGAAGGAGC
Molecule: long non-coding RNA, 1198 nt
Filed under: Carassius auratus (goldfish)
Lineage: Eukaryota; Metazoa; Chordata; Actinopteri; Cypriniformes; Cyprinidae
Description: lncRNA (ENSCARG00000030369.1)
Source: RNAcentral